This 498-nucleotide ribosomal RNA is filed under the name uncultured bacterium. Its description in RNAcentral is "partial 16S ribosomal RNA". It matches the Rfam family "Bacterial small subunit ribosomal RNA", at positions 30 to 523 of the family's 1533-position model. The record is from RNAcentral.
AUUGAACGCUGGCGGCAUGCCUUACACAUGCAAGUCGAACGGUAGCAGGUCUUCGGAUGCUGACGAGUGGCGAACGGGUGAGUAAUACAUCGGAACGUGCCUAGUAGUGGGGGAUAACUACUCGAAAGAGUGGCUAAUACCGCAUGAGAUCUACGGAUGAAAGCAGGGGAUCGCAAGACCUUGUGCUACUAGAGCGGCCGAUGGCAGAUAAGGUAGUUGGUGGGAUAAAAGCUGACCAAGCCGACGAUCUGUAGCUGGUCUGAGAGGACGAUCAGCCACACUGGGACUGAGACACGGCCCAGACUCCUACGGGAGGCAGCAGUGGGGAAGUUGGGACAAUGGGCGAAAGCCUUAUCCAGCAAUGCCGCGUGCAGGAUGAAGGCCUUCGGGUUGUAAACUGCUUUUGUACGGAACGAAAAGCCCCAGGUUAAUACCCUGGGGUCAUGACGGUACCGUAAGAAUAAGCACCGGCUAACUACGUGCCAGCCGCCGCCGUAA